This 816-nucleotide ribosomal RNA is filed under the name uncultured bacterium. RNAcentral describes it as "bacterial SSU rRNA". It matches the Rfam family "Bacterial small subunit ribosomal RNA", at positions 208 to 1013 of the family's 1533-position model. The record is from RNAcentral.
UACGGCGUCACCUAGAGAUGGAUCCGCGGUGCAUUAGUUAGUUGGUGGGGUAAAGGCUUACCAAGACGAUGAUGCAUAGCCGAGUUGAGAGACUGAUCGGCCACAUUGGGACUGAGACACGGCCCAAACUCCUACGGGAGGCUGCAGUAGGGAAUCUUCCACAAUGGGCGCAAGCCUGAUGGAGCAACGCCGCGUGUGUGAUGAAGGCUUUCGGGUCGUAAAGCACUGUUGUAUGGGAAGAAAUGCUAAAAUAGGGAAUGAUUUUAGUUUGACGGUACCAUACCAGAAAGGGACGGCUAAAUACGUGCCAGCAGCCGCGGUAAUACGUAUGUCCCGAGCGUUAUCCGGAUUUAUUGGGCGUAAAGCGAGCGCAGACGGUUGAUUAAGUCUGAUGUGAAAGCCCGGAGCUCAACUCCGGAAUGGCAUUGGAAACUGGUUAACUUGAGUGUUGUAGAGGUAAGUGGAACUCCAUGUGUAGCGGUGGAAUGCGUAGAUAUAUGGAAGAACACCAGUGGCGAAGGCGGCUUACUGGACAACAACUGACGUUGAGGCUCGAAAGUGUGGGUAGCAAACAGGAUUAGAUACCCUGGUAGUCCACACCGUAAACGAUGAAUACUAGGUGUUAGGAGGUUUCCGCCUCUUAGUGCCGAAGCUAACGCAUUAAGUAUUCCGCCUGGGGAGUACGACCGCAAGGUUGAAACUCAAAGGAAUUGACGGGGACCCGCACAAGCGGUGGAGCCUGUGGUUUAAUUCGAAGCAACGCNGAAGAACCUUACCAGGUCUGACAUUCCCUUUGAAGCUUUUAGAGAUAGAAGU